Molecule: ribosomal RNA, 1298 nt
Filed under: metagenome
Description: bacterial LSU rRNA
Rfam family: Bacterial large subunit ribosomal RNA
Source: RNAcentral
AGCUUCUAGUGAGAAAGUAACUGCCCGUACCGCAAACCGACACAGGUAGUUGAGGAGAGAAUCCUAAGGUGUGCGAGAGAACUCUCGUUAAGGAACUCGGCAAAAUGACCCCGUAACUUCGGGAGAAGGGGUGCUGACCGCAAGGUCAGCCGCAGUGAAUAGGCCCAAGCGACUGUUUAUCAAAAACACAGGUCUCUGCAAAAUCGAAAGAUGACGUAUAGGGGCUGACGCCUGCCCGGUGCUGGAAGGUUAAGAGGAGAGGUUAGCGCAAGCGAAGCUUUGAAUUGAAGCCCCAGUAAACGGCGGCCGUAACAAUAACGGUCCUAAGGUAGCGAAAUUCCUUGUCGGGUAAGUUCCGACCCGCACGAAAGGCGUAACGAUUUGGGCACUGUCUCAACGAGAGACUCGGUGAAAUUAUAGUACCAGUGAAGAUGCUGGUUACCCGCGACAGGACGGAAAGACCCCAUGGAGCUUUACUGCAGUUUGAUAUUGCGUGUUUGUAUCACAUGUACAGGAUAGGUAGGAGCCGAAGAUACCGGGACGCCAGUCUCGGAGGAGGCAACGGUGGGAUACUACCCUUGUGAUAUGACCACUCUAACCCGCUGCUCUUAGCGAGCAGGGAGACAGUGUCAGACGGGCAGUUUGACUGGGGCGGUCGCCUCCAAAAAUGUAACGGAGGCGCCCAAAGGUUCCCUCAGAAUGGUUGGAAAUCAUUCGUAGAGUGUAAAGGCAGAAGGGAGCUUGACUGCGAGACCUACAAGUCGAGCAGGGACGAAAGUCGGGCUUAGUGAUCCGGUGGUUCCGCAUGGAAGGGCCAUCGCUCAACGGAUAAAAGCUACCCUGGGGAUAACAGGCUUAUCUCCCCCAAGAGUUCACAUCGACGGGGAGGUUUGGCACCUCGAUGUCGGCUCAUCGCAUCCUGGGGCUGUAGUCGGUCCCAAGGGUUGGGCUGUUCGCCCAUUAAAGCGGUACGCGAGCUGGGUUCAGAACGUCGUGAGACAGUUCGGUCCCUAUCCGUCGCGGGCGUUGGAAAUUUGAGAGGAGCUGUCCUUAGUACGAGAGGACCGGGAUGGACACACCGCUGGUGUACCAGUUGUUCUGCCAAGAGCAUCGCUGGGUAGCUAUGUGUGGACGGGAUAAACGCUGAAAGCAUCUAAGCGUGAAGCCCCCCUCAAGAUGAGAUUUCCCAUCACUUUAAGUGAGUAAGACCCCUGAGAGAUGAUCAGGUAGAUAGGUUGGGAGUGGAAGUACAGCGAUGUAUGGAGCGGACCAAUACUAAUCGGUCGAGGACUUAACCU